AAGUCGAACGAGAAUCUAUGGAUCGAGGAUUCGUCCAAGUGAAGUAGAGGACAGUGGCGGACGGGUGAGUAACGCGUGAGGAACCUGCCUUUCAGAGGGGGACAACAGUUGGAAACGACUGCUAAUACCGCAUGACACAUAGAGAUCGCAUGGUUUUUAUGUCAAAGAUUUAUCGCUGAGAGAUGGCCUCGCGUCUGAUUAGCUAGUUGGUGAGGUAACGGCCCACCAAGGCGACGAUCAGUAGCCGGACUGAGAGGUUGACCGGCCACAUUGGGACUGAGAUACGGCCCAGACUCCUACGGGAGGCAGCAGUGGGGAAUAUUGGGCAAUGGGCGCAAGCCUGACCCAGCAACGCCGCGUGAAGGAAGAAGGCUUUCGGGUUGUAAACUUCUUUUGUCGGGGACGAGUAGAAGACGGUACCUGGCGAAUAAGCCACGGCUAACUACGUGCCAGCAGCCGCGGUAAUACGUAGGUGGCAAGCGUUGUCCGGAUUUACUGGGUGUAAAGGGCGUGUAGCCGGGAAGGCAAGUCAGAUGUGAAAUCCACGGGCUUAACUCGUGAACUGCAUUUGAA
RNAcentral lists this ribosomal RNA (573 nucleotides) under uncultured bacterium. RNAcentral's name for it is "bacterial SSU rRNA". It matches the Rfam family "Bacterial small subunit ribosomal RNA", at positions 59 to 631 of the family's 1533-position model. The record is from RNAcentral.